This 645-nucleotide ribosomal RNA is filed under the name Triticum aestivum (bread wheat). RNAcentral describes it as "partial small subunit ribosomal RNA". The record is from RNAcentral. Lineage: Eukaryota; Viridiplantae; Streptophyta; Magnoliopsida; Poales; Poaceae.
AUGGCAUCGAAGCUCCUGCGGAUGGCCCGUGACGCAUCCCGAGCUCGCACCGCUGCGGCAGCCGCAUCUCGCGCCGCCGCGAUGUCCUCCCGCUCAGCGUGUGGCCGUGAGGAAUCCCCCCCAUCUCGCACCGACGCGGCAGCCACAUCUCGCGCCCCUACGGCAGCCUCCCGCUCAGCGCGUGAGGCCGCCGCUUCAGGCGUCAUAGCUCCCCGCCCAACUCGCACGAAGCCCCGCGACCAUGCUCCCCUCUCUCCCCCCUUGGAGAACUCACGCACCGAUUACGAGCUCUUCUUGAUAGACGAUGUUGAUACCCCGACGGAGAAGGACCUCGAGUCGGAGGAAUCCCAAUGGGCCUAUUAUCAGCGCUGGUGCGAGGCUCAUGACAAGAAGCAUGACCAUGACGAGAUGGCUCGCCGGUUUGAUGCUUUCCGAAGUCGGGCACGGUCGGUGCACCAAUGGAACGUUGGUCUUCCUUUAGAUCCAGUUAAAGCAGCCAUUGCCAAAAAGAAAAAAGAAAAGGUCAGGUUACUUCUGUCAAAAGGCAAAAGCAUCUCAAAGUUCGAUGAAUGCCUUGUGCCAAUGGAAUUAGGUCCAUUUGCCGAUGAGCCCUUCAGUGAUGUUGAAGAUGUUACAGCAGAGUAG